This 1348-nucleotide ribosomal RNA is filed under the name Salmonella enterica. RNAcentral's name for it is "bacterial SSU rRNA". It matches the Rfam family "Bacterial small subunit ribosomal RNA", at positions 199 to 1533 of the family's 1533-position model. Lineage: Bacteria; Pseudomonadati; Pseudomonadota; Gammaproteobacteria; Enterobacterales; Enterobacteriaceae. The record is from RNAcentral.
ACCUUCGGGCCUCUUGCCAUCAGAUGUGCCCAGAUGGGAUUAGCUUGUUGGUGAGGUAACGGCUCACCAAGGCGACGAUCCCUAGCUGGUCUGAGAGGAUGACCAGCCACACUGGAACUGAGACACGGUCCAGACUCCUACGGGAGGCAGCAGUGGGGAAUAUUGCACAAUGGGCGCAAGCCUGAUGCAGCCAUGCCGCGUGUAUGAAGAAGGCCUUCGGGUUGUAAAGUACUUUCAGCGGGGAGGAAGGUGUUGUGGUUAAUAACCGCAGCAAUUGACGUUACCCGCAGAAGAAGCACCGGCUAACUCCGUGCCAGCAGCCGCGGUAAUACGGAGGGUGCAAGCGUUAAUCGGAAUUACUGGGCGUAAAGCGCACGCAGGCGGUCUGUCAAGUCGGAUGUGAAAUCCCCGGGCUCAACCUGGGAACUGCAUUCGAAACUGGCAGGCUUGAGUCUUGUAGAGGGGGGUAGAAUUCCAGGUGUAGCGGUGAAAUGCGUAGAGAUCUGGAGGAAUACCGGUGGCGAAGGCGGCCCCCUGGACAAAGACUGACGCUCAGGUGCGAAAGCGUGGGGAGCAAACAGGAUUAGAUACCCUGGUAGUCCACGCCGUAAACGAUGUCUACUUGGAGGUUGUGCCCUUGAGGCGUGGCUUCCGGAGCUAACGCGUUAAGUAGACCGCCUGGGGAGUACGGCCGCAAGGUUAAAACUCAAAUGAAUUGACGGGGGCCCGCACAAGCGGUGGAGCAUGUGGUUUAAUUCGAUGCAACGCGAAGAACCUUACCUGGUCUUGACAUCCACGGAACUUUCCAGAGAUGGAUUGGUGCCUUCGGGAACCGUGAGACAGGUGCUGCAUGGCUGUCGUCAGCUCGUGUUGUGAAAUGUUGGGUUAAGUCCCGCAACGAGCGCAACCCUUAUCCUUUGUUGCCAGCGGUCCGGCCGGGAACUCAAAGGAGACUGCCAGUGAUAAACUGGAGGAAGGUGGGGAUGACGUCAAGUCAUCAUGGCCCUUACGACCAGGGCUACACACGUGCUACAAUGGCGCAUACAAAGAGAAGCGACCUCGCGAGAGCAAGCGGACCUCAUAAAGUGCGUCGUAGUCCGGAUUGGAGUCUGCAACUCGACUCCAUGAAGUCGGAAUCGCUAGUAAUCGUGGAUCAGAAUGCCACGGUGAAUACGUUCCCGGGCCUUGUACACACCGCCCGUCACACCAUGGGAGUGGGUUGCAAAAGAAGUAGGUAGCUUAACCUUCGGGAGGGCGCUUACCACUUUGUGAUUCAUGACUGGGGUGAAGUCGUAACAAGGUAACCGUAGGGGAACCUGCGGUUGGAUCACCUCCUUACCUUAAAGAA